UACGGAGGGUGCAAGCGUUGUUCGGAAUCACUGGGCGUAAAGCGCGUGUAGGCGGCCUUCUCAGUCUGAUGUGAAAGCCCGGGGCUCACCCCCGGAAGUGCAUUGGAUACUGGAAGGCUGGAGUACCGGAGAGGAGGGUGGAAUUCCUGGUGUAGCGGUGAAAUGCGUAGAUAUCAGGAGGAACACCGGUGGCGAAAGCGGCUCACUGGACCGUUACUGACGCUGAGGUGCGAAAGCUAGGGGAGCAAACGGG
RNAcentral lists this ribosomal RNA (253 nucleotides) under uncultured prokaryote. RNAcentral describes it as "partial 16S ribosomal RNA". It matches the Rfam family "Bacterial small subunit ribosomal RNA", at positions 524 to 776 of the family's 1533-position model. The record is from RNAcentral.